Triticum aestivum (bread wheat) is the source of this 2687-nucleotide RNA transcript. RefSeq lists it as uncharacterized. The record is from RefSeq and is a predicted model, not a curated record. The transcript has 3 exons. NCBI's taxonomy places the organism in Eukaryota, Viridiplantae, Streptophyta, Magnoliopsida, Poales, Poaceae.
UCGUCACUUUGCUUUCUCCGCCAGCCGCCUCUUCUGCUGCUCUGCAGCACGCCGCAUCCUCUCCCGCGAUGUCGCCCUACCACCAUGGCCUCACUCCAUCUCCUCCUAUCCCCACCACGGCGAUGCCCCGUCGGCCCUUAUCCCCACCACGGCCUCGGGCCGCUGCCUCCUCUCACCACCGCGGCCUUGCCUCGCCAUCAACCCCGCGGCUCUUCUCCAGAUCGACCCUGUCGCCGCCAUCCUACUGCCCCAAAGUAUAUCGAGAUGCGAGGUGCUGGACACGAUGCAGGCGCAGGCAUCUCGAAUUGGACCGAGAUCCAGUGCGUCGACGUGCCCGCCGUAAUCAUCGCCCCCUGUUCUUGGCUCACACAGUUGCUCCGGGAAGGAGUUCGCAGCUGGCGUAUGUGCUCGGUUGCUGAAGGCACCUUCGCCACAUUGUCAUUCAUUUGUGAGAUGUUUCUCUUUCUUUAUGUUGGCAUGCAUGAUAUAGAGUAGUGGACGAUUGUUAGUGAAGCACAUAUAGGUAAGCUAUCUAUCUGGUUCUUUCCGUGUGUGUAGUAAGAUAGUUGUUGUUCAAAUCCAGAAAUUGUAACAUUUUCUAUACUAUAUGCAGCCCAAUGAAAUGUAUGGCCUUGAGCUCCAUUAUUUAGGCUAGAUCUCAUGAGAGGUGUUGUGUCUAUUGCAUUGGCAUACAGUAAGGUAAAGAAUUGCAUUGGCACAUCAAAUCUGUUGAUCAAAUAUGCUUCAGGAAUACUAUGCAGUGAAAAAAUAAACAUAAUAGCAUACCAAAAUACCCUGUUAAGCAUAAAUGCUCUGAGUUAUAUUAGGAGGCGUACCCAUCCGUCUGAAGACUGCUCUUAAUAUAUUCUUCUCUUUUCCAUGUUGUAACACUUAGAUCAGUCCACUUAUUGGAUUUUAAUUCCAUGUGCUCGGAUGCAUAUUUGAAUAAAUCCUCCGGUCCUUCUAGCUGUUGUACCAACAAAUGAAAAAAGUAUAAGCAUGACAUGAGAGAAAUAAGAAAAAAAUGCUUCUUAUGCAAAGAUGGGGCAGUAGGACUAACUACUAACCGUAUCAGUGAGGUCCUUGCGAUUCAUUGAUGGGCCUAGCGAGUCGAGCACUUGAACACAUAGUUUUCUAGCAUUUAUAACACAUAGGUAGCAGUGAACGUCGUCCAUGUUUAUUGGAAUGAAUAUCUGAAAAAAAUGAUUAUUUUAGUUGUACUCCUAUGUAGACGAAUCGGUCGUUCUCGCUAAAAUUCAUAGAAAUAUGUAGAAAACUAAGACUAACCAUAUCAUUUUCAAAAUAUUCUUUGGCUCUAUUUAAUACCCAUACUGGUGCAGCAUCCAUGUCAUCUGAGGGUAGAUAGCCACCGAUCUUUAUCAUCUUAGAGAUGCAUGCAUUUUCUAAGAACACACUUCCACCUGACCUUACCUAUAGAUGCUCCAUCGCAGUCAUGCAAUUUAUAUACGUAUUUAUGACCUACAAUUAAAAGUAUGAACCAAGCAGUAGUGAAUUAAAGCACAAUUACAUUUUUCCACAUGAUUGUGUCCACACGACGGCUUACUGAGUAUGUUGACUGGCGUCAUCCUCCCUCCAAUGUUUUGCAUCUGGUAUGUAUCAUUUUUGUGUAGCCAAUCACAAUCUUCAUCGGCUACAGAAAUAUUGAGUGACUAUCAAUUAGGAAAUCAAAGAUUGGAUAUCAUGUGUUUGAUGUAGCUGGCAUCACCUGUACUGGAUUGAGUUUGUUCUCCGGUUGUUGGGACAACUGUAGAUUUGGCUCGGCACCGUUUCUCACGUAGGCUCUGUAAUAUCCCUUCUUCAUGUUGCUCAUACCGGGCAUUUUCCCUCUCCCUCUUAAGUGCUUGUUUUUCUUUCUGUAGAAUAAGUGUGAAUUAUGUACAGUAGACAAUGCAAUAUGAGAAGAAGUUGUUUUUCCUCUGUACGAUCUAAGUGUCAAUUAUGUAUCAUAGAUAAUAUGAGGAACAGUUGAUUACCAUAUGACAUGCUGCAUUUGUAGGCUUGAAGUGGUGGUCGUAACCCAGUUAGUUGGGAGGACUCAAUGGCAGACUCGACAUGUUGACAUCUUCGGGUGUUCUUAAUGAAUUUGGACCAUGAAGUGGAGUCUGAUCAGUCAUUACGACAUCAACAGUGGCAGGGGCGGAAUUACUACUAUGGCGCGGGCCACCGGAGGUAGGGCAGCGCGCCGGGUCGAGGAUGGCCAUCGGGUCGACGACGGCGUGGAGAUCAGGGACGAGGACGACGGGGCGAGACGGAGGUUUCGUUCAGACGACACGGCCACCGGGUCAACGACGGCGUGGAGAUCAGGGGCGAGGCCGAGGUUUCGUUCAGACGGCACGGUCGCCGGGUUGAUGACGACGCGAAGACAAGGGGUGAGGAUGGCGGAGCAAGGCCGAGGUUCCGUUCAGAUGGCACGGCCACCGGGAUGAGGAUGUCGCGGACCCCAAGGGCGAGGCCAGGUUCAUGGCGUGGUGGCGGCGUUGAUUGUGGAUGUAUUGUUUAGUUUCUAGGAGGUGCCAUCGUUGGGUUGUGUAGCAUCCCGGACGAAGGAGUCUGCCGACAGAACAUUUGUUUUCACCGUCGAUCUGAUUGUAGUAUGGUGAUGUAAUGUGGGCAGUUGGAUGGUAUUACGUGGGUCUGAUCGAACAUGGAGGGUUAUUCCGUGUGCA